GUCGGUGUCAACUGGCAUGUCCUGUGGAACGUCCUGCCGGUGGCGGACCGGGCUUUCGGCUUGCGUAAGGGCUUACGCUCGAAGCAGGCCGAACAGUACCGGCCGCCGGUCCAAUCCCGCCACGGUGCUCUUCACCGAGUGUCGAGGUGGGCCGGCACGUUUACUUUGAACAAAUUAGAGUGCUUAAAGCAGGCUGGUGUCCGCCUGAAUACUGUGUGCAUGGAAUAAUAGAAUAGGACCUCGGUUCUAUUUUGUUGGUUUUCGGAACCCGAGGUAAUGAUUAAUAGGGACAGGCGGGGGCAUUCGUAUUGCGACGUUAGAGGUGAAAUUCUUGGAUCGUCGCAAGACGAACCUAAGCGAAAGCAUUUGCCAAGUAUGUUCUCGUUAAUCAAGAACGAAAGUUAGAGGUUCGAAGGCGAUCAGAUACCGCCCUAGUUCUAACCAUAAACGAUGCCAGCCAGCGAUCCGCCGAAGUUCCUCCGAUGACUCGGCGGGCAGCUUCCGGGAAACCAAAGCUUUUGGGUUCCGGGGGAAGUAUGGUUGCAAAGCUGAAACUUAAAGGAAUUGACGGAAGGGCACCACCAGGAGUGGAGCCUGCGGCUUAAUUUGACUCAACACGGGAAACCUCACCAGGCCCGGACACCGGAAGGAUUGACAGAUUGAGAGCUCUUUCUUGAUUCGGUGGGGUGGUGGUGCAU
This 698-nucleotide ribosomal RNA is filed under the name Aeneolamia contigua. RNAcentral describes it as "SSU rRNA". It matches the Rfam family "Eukaryotic small subunit ribosomal RNA", at positions 703 to 1285 of the family's 1831-position model. The record is from RNAcentral. Lineage: Eukaryota; Metazoa; Arthropoda; Insecta; Hemiptera; Cercopidae.